AUUGCCUCGAUGGCGCGAAGACUGUGUACCUGGUGAAAGACAAAGUUAUACUGCCUAUGUCGGAGGUUAUUAUUUUAGCAAAGGUUACGGGAAUUCGGGAUAAAAAUCAUUUAGGGGUAAUAGAGUCGGAAAAUUUGAGUGUGCCGGGACUGACGACAAUGGAUGUAUUAGUCCGAACGAAAGGAAAAGGCAAGGUCCCUGUGCGAGUCAUGAACGUCACAACUAAUGCGGUUAAACUUCACAGACAAGAUCCAGUCGGUAAAUUUUUGCCGGCGACGGAAGAAACCGAAGAACACUUAAAUAAAGAAU
RNAcentral lists this long non-coding RNA (309 nucleotides) under Androctonus crassicauda. The record is from RNAcentral. Lineage: Eukaryota; Metazoa; Arthropoda; Arachnida; Scorpiones; Buthidae.